Molecule: ribosomal RNA, 119 nt
Filed under: Triticum aestivum (bread wheat)
Lineage: Eukaryota; Viridiplantae; Streptophyta; Magnoliopsida; Poales; Poaceae
Also listed under: 2 other names
Source: RNAcentral
GGAUGCGAUCAUACCAGCACUAAAGCACCGGAUCCCAUCAAAACUCCGAAGUUAAGCGUGCUUGGGCGAGAGUAGUACUAGGAUGGGUGACCUCCUGGGAAGUCCUCAUGUUGCAUUCC